Molecule: ribosomal RNA, 459 nt
Filed under: uncultured bacterium
Lineage: Bacteria
Description: bacterial SSU rRNA
Rfam family: Bacterial small subunit ribosomal RNA
Source: RNAcentral
UACGGGAGGCAGCAGUGGGGAAUAUUGGACAAUGGGCGAAAGCCUGAUCCAGCGACGCCGCGUGUGUGAAGAAGGCCUGCGGGUUGUAAAGCACUUUCGAUGGGAACGAAAUGUGCCGGGCUAAUACCCCGGCAAGCUGACGUUACUCAAUGAAGAAGCACCGGCUAACUCUGUGCCAGCAGCCGCGGUAAUACAGAGGGUGCGAGCGUUAAUCGGAAUUACUGGGCGUAAAGCGCACGUAGGUGGCGACGUAAGUCGGGUGUGAAAGCCCCGGGCUCAACCUGGGAAUUGCAUUCGAGACUGCAUUGCUGGAGUACGGAAGAGGAGGGCGGAAUUCCCGGUGUAGCGGUGAAAUGCGUAGAUAUCGGGAGGAACAUCAGUGGCGAAGGCGGGCCCUCUGGGUCCAGUACUGACACUCAAGUGCGAAAGCGUGGGGAGCAAACGAGGAUUAGGAUAACC